GACGAACGCUGGCGGCGUGCUUAACACAUGCAAGUCGAACGGAAAGGCCCUGCUUUCGUGUGGAGCUCGAGUGGCGAACGGGUGAGUAACACGUGAGUAACCUGCCUUUGACUUGGGGAUAACUUCAGGCAACUGCUGCUAACACAGGCUAGGAGCUCCAGCUGCUUGGUGGGGGUCGGACAGCAUCGGCGGUUGGGGAUGGACUCGCGGCUUAUCAGCUUGUUGGUGGGGGACUGGCCUACGAAGGCUUCGACGGGUGGCCGGCCUGAGAGGGUGACCGGCCACAUUGGGACUGAGAGACGGCCCAGACUCCUACGGGGGGCGGCAGUGGGGAAUAUUGCACAAUGGGCGGAAGCCUGAUGCAGCAACGCCGCGUGCGGGAUGACGGCCUUCGGGUUGUAAACCGCUUUCGCCUGUGACGAAGCGUGAGUGACGGUAAUGGGUGAAGAAGCACCGGCUAACUACGUG
This 468-nucleotide ribosomal RNA is filed under the name uncultured bacterium. RNAcentral describes it as "partial 16S ribosomal RNA". It matches the Rfam family "Bacterial small subunit ribosomal RNA", at positions 28 to 507 of the family's 1533-position model. The record is from RNAcentral.